CCACCCCCAAUUAUCAGCCAACAAAACGAACUGACCCAGCCCACACUCAACUAUCUUUUUUUUCAACCGAACCACUAAAAAUUUCAACCCAUCUCAAAUUUCCAGAAAGUGUGAACUCCACCAAAAACGACAAACCAACAUAAUCAACGCGCUUCAUCAUCCCUGUCUCCAUACCACUGCAGCAGCAAAAUCAACUGGGCAAGGCACGCGAUCAUCCUUGGUGGCGUGAGAUGGAGACACGUAUAACACCAAGGACAAUCGAUUUCAUCUCAUACAUACCCCCCUCUUUCCCUUUUCGGAUAAGUUCAGAUUUUUUUUCCAGAAAUCUUGUGGAUGAAAAAGGGGAAAGGGGGUUUCGAAUUCAAACUAGCACAUGGAAUCCCAAUUUUUCCUUUAGUCCCUGUCGUUUUUGGCUCUCCCCCCCUUUUUCCAUAAAACCUAGCCGUUUUGCUAUAUAUACUCGUUAUGAUUAUUGUUUGAGAGGGGGGGGGGGUUUCUAGAGAGAUAAGUUUUUUUGAUUUAAUUUACAACUAACAGAAACGUUGUAGGAAAAUUUUUAGAAAAUAACAUAUACAUACAUAUAUCAGAGAAAAUACUAGAGAGAGCUAGAGUUGAAAUUUGUUUGAGAAUAUUCCGAAGGAAAGAAAGUUAGCUCAGUUGAGACCUGGUGUCGUUUCUUUCUCAUUAUUUCUUUUCAAGUUCAAAGGAGUUUAUCGGGAUCCCUGCUCGUUUGUUUGUUUUGUUUCGCUCGGCUGUCCAUAUUCAUGGUCACGUUGGUGGGAAAGGAUUGCCACUCUAAAAGCUCGUCGACACCCAGUUUCGCUGCAUCGGAGGAGUCGCCCGAGUUCUCCGUGAAUUCUCUCUCCUUUCCUCUAGCAUUUCCGGGAGCCAUAAGAGCUCAAAAUUCCCCUUUCGAGUCAACCCAUAAAAUUGACGUACAGUUCUUGAGGUUUAAGAAAUCCAAGAAGAUCGAAGAAAUUGAAUGAUCUGGACAAGAGUCCAACAAUUUUAUUGUGAAAAAUGUUAUAUUUUGUUUUGGCCUAAGCCCUUUUUUAUCAUCAUUAUUUGGAAUAGUUAGGACAGUUACAAGUCGAGUGGGCCUAAGGCCCACAAACAAAGGGUCCAAAUACUUGUCCAGACAGACAGAUAACCCGGAUUUGGACCCAUCUCUCCUCUCUCUCUUUCUCUUUAUCCCUCUCUCUCUCUCUUA
Solanum pennellii is the source of this 1210-nucleotide long non-coding RNA. RefSeq lists it as uncharacterized. Lineage: Eukaryota; Viridiplantae; Streptophyta; Magnoliopsida; Solanales; Solanaceae. The record is from RefSeq and is a predicted model, not a curated record. The transcript is spliced from 2 exons.